This 21-nucleotide non-coding RNA is filed under the name Caenorhabditis elegans. The record is from RNAcentral. Lineage: Eukaryota; Metazoa; Nematoda; Chromadorea; Rhabditida; Rhabditidae.
UCAGUUUCAUAGUUGAUUGCA